UUAGAUGUGCAGCUAGUUUCCUAGAGGGAGACUUACCAUUAUCAUAAAAUACUUCUGAAGUAAUUGAUACAAUGUGGGAGUAACGUAGGAAAGGAUCUGGAAGCUACUACUGUGUGAAAGGUAUAGAACCUAGAAAUAUCUGGCACAAUGUAUUCAAGAAGGCACAUGAAAUUAUGUUCACUGAAGUAUUUUUUGUAAGAG
Long non-coding RNA from Suricata suricatta (meerkat), 201 nucleotides. RefSeq lists it as uncharacterized. The record is from RefSeq and is a predicted model, not a curated record. The transcript has 3 exons. Lineage: Eukaryota; Metazoa; Chordata; Mammalia; Carnivora; Herpestidae.